This 420-nucleotide ribosomal RNA is filed under the name uncultured bacterium. RNAcentral describes it as "bacterial SSU rRNA". It matches the Rfam family "Bacterial small subunit ribosomal RNA", at positions 356 to 773 of the family's 1533-position model. The record is from RNAcentral.
GAGGAAUAUUGGUCAAUGGGCGCAAGCCUGAACCAGCCAUCCCGCGUGAAGGAAGAAUGCGCUAUGCGUUGUAAACUUCUUUUCCAGGGGAAUAAAAUUUCGUACGUGUACGGGACUGAAGGUACCUUGGGAAUAAGCAUCGGCUAACUCCGUGCCAGCAGCCGCGGUAAUACGGAGGAUGCGAGCGUUAUCCGGAUUUAUUGGGUUUAAAGGGUGCGUAGGCGGAAAAAUAAGUCAGUGGUGAAAACCUUCAGCUUAACUGGAGACUUGCCAUUGAUACUGUUAUUCUUGAGUAUAGUUAAGGUAGGCGGAAUGUGUAAUGUAGCGGUGAAAUGCUUAGAUAUUACACAGAACACCAAUUGCGAAGGCAGCUUACUGAGCUAUAACUGACGCUGAUGCACGAAAGCGUGGGGAGCGAAC